CACGUAGGGUGCGAGCGUUAAUCGGAAUUACUGGGCGUAAAGCGUGCGCAGGCGGUUUUGUAAGCCAGAUGUGAAAUCCCCGGGCUUAACCUGGGAAUGGCAUUUGGGACUGCAAGGCUUGAGUGCGGCAGAGGAGACUGGAAUUCCUGGUGUAGCAGUGAAAUGCGUAGAUAUCAGGAGGAACACCGAUGGCGAAGGCAGGUCUCUGGGCUGACACUGACGCUCAUGCACGAAAGCGUGGGGAGCAAACAGG
Molecule: ribosomal RNA, 253 nt
Filed under: uncultured bacterium
Lineage: Bacteria
Description: partial 16S ribosomal RNA
Rfam family: Bacterial small subunit ribosomal RNA
Source: RNAcentral